UACGUAGGGUGCGAGCGUUGUCCGGAAUCACUGGGCGUAAAGGGCGCGUAGGUGGUGGCUUAAGCGUGCGGUGAAAGCUCGGGGCUCAACUCCGAGUCGGCCGUGCGAACUGGGCUCACUGGAGCAUAGUAGAGGCAGGUGGAAUUCCGGGUGUAGCGGUGGAAUGCGUAGAGAUCCGGAAGAACACCGGUGGCGAAGGCGGCCUGCUGGGCUAUGGCUGACACUGAGGCGCGACAGCGUGGGGAGCAAACAGGG
RNAcentral lists this ribosomal RNA (255 nucleotides) under uncultured bacterium. RNAcentral's name for it is "partial 16S ribosomal RNA". It matches the Rfam family "Bacterial small subunit ribosomal RNA", at positions 524 to 777 of the family's 1533-position model. The record is from RNAcentral.